GACGAACGCUGGCGGCGUGCUUAACACAUGCAAGUCGAACGCUGAAGCUCAGCUUUUGUUGGGUGGAUGAGUGGCGAACGGGUGAGUAACACGUGAGUAACCUGCCUCCUUCUUUGGGAUAACGCCCGGAAACGGGUGCUAAUACUGGAUAUUCACUGGUCUUCGCAUGGGGUUUGGUGGAAAGGGUUUUUCUGGUGGGGGAUGGGCUCGCGGCCUAUCAGCUUGUUGGUGGGGUGAUGGCCUACCAAGGCUUUGACGGGUAGCCGGCCUGAGAGGGUGACCGGUCACAUUGGGACUGAGAUACGGCCCAGACUCCUACGGGAGGCAGCAGUGGGGAAUAUUGCACAAUGGGCGCAAGCCUGAUGCAGCGACGCCGCGUGAGGGAUGGAGGCCUUCGGGUUGUGAACCUCUUUCGCUCAUGGUCAAGCCGCAACAAUGGUUGUGGUGAGGGUAGUGGGUAAAGAAGCGCCGGCUAACUACGUG
Molecule: ribosomal RNA, 483 nt
Filed under: uncultured bacterium
Lineage: Bacteria
Description: partial 16S ribosomal RNA
Rfam family: Bacterial small subunit ribosomal RNA
Source: RNAcentral